RNAcentral lists this ribosomal RNA (963 nucleotides) under uncultured fungus. RNAcentral describes it as "bacterial SSU rRNA". It matches the Rfam family "Eukaryotic small subunit ribosomal RNA", at positions 533 to 1486 of the family's 1831-position model. The record is from RNAcentral. Lineage: Eukaryota; Fungi.
CUAUAGGAGAUUGAUUUAGCGGCCGCGCUUCGCCCUUGUGCCAGCCGCCGCGGUAAUUCCAGCUCCAAUAGCGUAUAUUAAAGUUGUUGCAGUUAAAAAGCUCGUAGUUGAAACUUGGGUCUGGCUGGCCGGUCCGCCUCACCGCGUGCACUCGUCCGGCCGGGCCUUCCUUCUGGAGAACCUCCAUACCUUUCCUGGGCGUUUAUAUAGAAAACAGGACAUUUACUUUGAAAAAAUUAGAGUGCUCCAGGCAGGCCUAUGCUCGAAUACAUUAGCAUGGAAUAAUAAAAUAGGACGCGCGGUUCUAUUUUGUGGGUUCAUAGGACCGCCGUAAUGAUUAAUUGGGACAGUCGGGGGCAUCAGUAUUCAACUGUCAGAGGUGAAAUUCUGGGAUCAGUUGAAGACUAACUACUGCGAAAGCAUUUGCCAAGGAUGUUUUCAUUAAUCAGGAACGAAAGUUAGGGGAUCGAAGACGAUCAGAUACCGUCGUAGUCUUAACCAUAAACUAUGCCGACUAGGGAUCGGACGAUGUUAUUCAUGACACGUUCGCCACCUUACGAGAAAUCAAAGUGCUUGUGCUCUAGGGGGGAGUAUGUGCGCAAGGCUGAGACUUAUAGAAAUUGACGGCAAGGGCAUCACCAGGGGUGGAGCCGUGCUGGCGUUAUUUUGUCUCAUCACGGCGGAGACUCACCAGGUCGCAGACACUAAUAAAGGGAGUGGACGAGAUUGAGAGCUCUUCUCUUGAUGUUGUUGGGUGGUGGUGCAUGGUCGCUUCUUCAGUUGGUCGGGUGACGUCGUCUGCUUCAUUAGUGAUGACGAACGAGGACCAUUAUUCCUGCUGAAUAAGUCCCGCAUUGCUUCGGGCAGGUGCGCUGGCGUUCUUCGUAGGGACUUUCGGCUCAUGCCGAAGGAAGUUUGAGGCAAUAAUAAGGGCCUGCGAUGCUCUCUCAGAUGUUUCUUGCG